CCCUUAGAUAUCCUGGGCCGCACGCGCGCUACACUGAGUGUCUGAGAUACGAGUCUGCCUGGUCCGGCAAGGUCUAGGUAAUCGCUAAAAGACACAUCAUGCUUGGGAUAGAUUAUUGCAAAUAUUAAUCUUGAACGAGGAAUUCCUAGUAAGCGCAAGUCAACAGCUUGCGUUGAUUACGUCCCUGCCCUUUGUACACACCGCCCGUCGCUACUACUGAUUGGAUGUUUAAGCGAGGUUCUCGAACUGCUAGCGACUUAGCUUCGGUGAGGUCGCAGUGUGGGAAGUGAACCUAGCUUUGGUGUCUAGAGGAAGUAAAAGUCGUAACA
Molecule: ribosomal RNA, 329 nt
Filed under: uncultured eukaryote
Lineage: Eukaryota
Description: partial 18S ribosomal RNA
Rfam family: Eukaryotic small subunit ribosomal RNA
Source: RNAcentral